CCUACGGGAGGCAGCAGUGGGGAAUAUUGGACAAUGGGCGAAAGCCUGAUCCAGCAAUGCCGCGUGAGUGAUGAAGGCCUUAGGGUCGUAAAGCUCUUUUACCAGGGAUGAUAAUGACAGUACCUGGAGAAUAAGCUCCGGCUAACUCCGUGCCAGCAGCCGCGGUAAUACGGAGGGAGCUAGCGUUGUUCGGAAUUACUGGGCGUAAAGAGUACGUAGGCGGUUAUUCAAGUCAGAGGUGAAAGCCCGGGGCUCAACCCCGGAACUGCCUUUGAAACUAGAUAACUAGAGUCUUGGAGAGGUUAGUGGAAUUCCGAGUGUAGAGGUGAAAUUCGUAGAUAUUCGGAAGAACACCAGUGGCGAAGGCGACUAACUGGACAAGUACUGACGCUGAGGUACGAAAGCGUGGGGAGCAAACAGGAUUAGAUACCCUGGUAAUCCACGCCGUAAACGAUGAUAACUAGUUGUUCGGUCACUUGGUGACUGAGUGACGCAGCUAACGCAUUAAGUUAUCCGCCUGGGGAGUACGGUCGCAAGNUUAAAACUCAAAGGAAUUGACGGCNGAAGAGUGCGAGACGACACGAGGAGAGG
This 591-nucleotide ribosomal RNA is filed under the name uncultured bacterium. RNAcentral describes it as "bacterial SSU rRNA". It matches the Rfam family "Bacterial small subunit ribosomal RNA", at positions 338 to 961 of the family's 1533-position model. The record is from RNAcentral.